GAUCUGGUAGCGAAGCGGUUGAACGCACAGGAUUGCAAAUCCUGACCCGGAAGGGCGCCGCAGGUUCGAAUCCUGCCCAGAUCU
This 84-nucleotide transfer RNA is filed under the name Rhizobium phage B1VFA. It matches the Rfam family "tRNA". Rfam says of the family: Transfer RNA (tRNA) molecules are approximately 80 nucleotides in length. The record is from Rfam by way of RNAcentral. Lineage: Duplodnaviria; Heunggongvirae; Uroviricota; Caudoviricetes.